This is a non-coding RNA of Podarcis lilfordi (Lilford's wall lizard), 574 nucleotides long. Lineage: Eukaryota; Metazoa; Chordata; Lepidosauria; Squamata; Lacertidae. The record is from the annotation of a GenBank genome assembly.
CUGCUGCUCUCCUCUGCCUUCCUGGGAGACCGAAGUCGAUGUCUGGCGAUGGGGGUCUGCGAUGGGGGUCUGCUCAACCUGGCGCAUUUCCACACCGAGACAAAAGUGGACCUGAUCCUUAAGUGAGAGAUGUUUGCAGAUGACGUGGCUGUGACAGCGCACUCCGAGGAAGCUCUGCAGAGACCCGUCAACCGCUUUGCCCAAGACUGCGGGGAGUUCUGCCUAAUCACCAGCCUGACAAGGACCAGCAUCCUGGGCCAGACAUCGCCAGCACUCCAGGCAUCAGCACUGGGGACCACAUGCUUGAGGUGGUGGAAGAUUCUGUUAAACUGGGUAUGCUGGACCCAGCAGUAACCCAUGAAACACGGUCCAGGACCGGUCCAGAAUCCGAAGGUUCUGCUAGGAGUCAGUCCAACAGGGCAAAGGCAGGAAACCAGACAAGGAUAGGGGCAGGAUCACAGGCAGGUUCUGGCAAACAGCAAUGUUGUUCCCGCAACCUGGGACAGAGUCCAGCAGCCUUUUAUCUCUGUCGGGGUAACGGCCGGUCCUGAUCCCCCAGCGACUCACCUCCCUG